RNAcentral lists this long non-coding RNA (1422 nucleotides) under Equus caballus (horse). RNAcentral's name for it is "lncRNA (ENSECAG00000048296.1)". The record is from RNAcentral. Lineage: Eukaryota; Metazoa; Chordata; Mammalia; Perissodactyla; Equidae.
CCAAACUCCUCCUCCCUCCUCCCAGUGGGCCAAGAGUCUUGUGUCCCGCUUGAUGCCCAGGGAACUUGCCAGGCCACUGACCGCCUCUGGGGCUCCGGGUCCACAUAUGGCCCAGGCUGUUCUGCCGACCCCUCCUCUGGGCCGGGCGCCCUGCACACGUCCACACCACCCACCAUGCUGAUACCGUUUUAUCGCGGUAGUGACCGCUGGUGAGUGAGCUCCUAUCUCCUCCACAGGGACUAACCCCUUCACCGUCUCUGCCCGCUCGGGCCAGCUGUUGGGUCUCCUGAGAGCAGUCUGACAUUUGGCAUGAUGGACGGGGGAACGCCCUGGUCUGGGACCUUCUCCAGAGUCUCUGCGCCCACAGGGGAUCACACACACCCUACCUGGCUCAGCUGGCUGUCCCUGCCAGCUACACUGAGGUCACAGGCAAAACCAGAGGGGGCCGAGGGUCUACUCCGGAGCCCUCCCCACCCCUGCUGGGAGGCGAUGCAAGGCCAGGUGGGGAGCCGCUGAAGUGCUGGCCACCCUCAACCUCUUGGCCCUUCCCUGGCACACCUAGCUGGACCUGCCAGCUGAGCCAGGCCACAGGCGGGUGAUCAGAGCAGCGUGGGGGCCAGCGGGAGGCAAACCGCACAAGGGCCUGGCCCAUUCCUUUGGACUCUUCCCAGGUUGGGAGUCAGACAGAAUGAGGACUCAGUCUCUGUGCCACUGCCUAUGAACUGGUGACGCUGGGCUGGGAUGGCACGGGCCUCCCCCCGAGGUUGUAGGGACCAAAUGAGCCACUGCACAGGCACAGGGGCCACAAGAUGGAAGCGUCGGUCUCCAGGGCUUUCCUCAGCCCCUUCUGAGAUUCCCUUUGCCCUCAGGGCUCUGUGCACUGGCUGGGAAACAGGCAGAGGGGAGUCCAGCAGAAGCUGAGGCUGUGGGUGGGUGGACAGCUGGUCCCGGGAUGAAGAUGGUGAGAGACAGGGGAAAUGAGGAUGUAAGGAAGGCGGCCUGUGCCAGCCCCCCUUGCUGCCCUCCAGAGACCCUCUGGAAAGUCUCACAUGGCUCUGGUGGUCUUUGGAGUUGGGUUUGCGUGAGCUGCUCCUUAGGAGGGAGGGGGGCCAAUUUAUCUGGGUCAUUAGCCCCAAAUUCCUGGCCUGGAGCACACUUCCAAGAAAGGGAGAGAAAGUUCUCUCACGAACAGAGGUAGCAGUGGGAUCGGGGUGGAUGACCCCAGGGGAGGGAGAAGAGAGAGGAAAAGGGCUCCCCGUGCCAAAUCGUCACCAGACCCUGGAUCCUGCUGCGAGGCCCCUUCCUCCGUCCCGACACCCACCCGGCAUAAGCAUGCAGAAGCACAAGGACAAUGGCUGAUGGAGGAAGUGAGAAUAAAAUUACUUCUUUUAUUUCCAAAAAAUGGAGAGAUGGGGGAGCAAC